RNAcentral lists this ribosomal RNA (601 nucleotides) under Aurantimonas coralicida. RNAcentral's name for it is "bacterial SSU rRNA". It matches the Rfam family "Bacterial small subunit ribosomal RNA", at positions 97 to 733 of the family's 1533-position model. The record is from RNAcentral. Lineage: Bacteria; Pseudomonadati; Pseudomonadota; Alphaproteobacteria; Hyphomicrobiales; Aurantimonadaceae.
GGCAGACGGGUGAGUAACGCGUGGGAAUCUACCCAUCCCUACGGGAUAGCUCCGGGAAACUGGAGAUAAUACCGUAUACGUCCUCCGGGAGAAAGAUUUAUCGGGGAUGGAUGAGCCCGCGUUGGAUUAGCUAGUUGGUGGGGUAAUGGCCUACCAAGGCGACGAUCCAUAGCUGGUCUAAGAGGAUGAUCAGCCACAUUGGGACUGAGACACGGCCCAAACUCCUACGGGAGGCAGCAGUGGGGAAUAUUGGACAAUGGGCGCAAGCCUGAUCCAGCCAUGCCGCGUGAGUGAUGAAGGCCCUAGGGUUGUAAAGCUCUUUCAGUGGGGACGAUAAUGACGGUACCCACAGAAGAAGCCCCGGCUAACUUCGUGCCAGCAGCCGCGGUAAUACGAAGGGGGCUAGCGUUGUUCGGAAUUACUGGGCGUAAAGCGCACGUAGGCGGACAUUUAAGUCAGGGGUGAAAUCCCGGGGCUCAACCCCGGAACUGCCUCUGAUACUGGGUGUCUUGAGUGUGGUAGAGGUGAGUGGAAUUGCGAGUGUAGAGGUGAAAUUCGUAGAUAUUCGCAGGAACACCAGUGGCGAAGGCGGCUCACUGGA